This 8985-nucleotide unclassified non-coding RNA is filed under the name Polistes canadensis. RNAcentral describes it as "uncharacterized LOC106788567, transcript variant X3". The record is from RNAcentral. Lineage: Eukaryota; Metazoa; Arthropoda; Insecta; Hymenoptera; Vespidae.
CGUGUAAAAGGGGGUGGCGCGCGUUGGUGAGAAAGGGGCGCCAUCUAUUCGUAGAGUACCCGGCCACCCUCGAAACACCCGUCGUGCAUAAACCGCGCUCGUACUUUCCCGUAUAAUUGCGGCAAUUCAGUGGCAGCCGAUCGAGCCAGUGCAACCGUGCCUUAAUAAAGUGACCAGUGUAUGCCUUUGGGGAAAGGAGAUAGAUAAAGAAUGGACAUACUCCUGAGGGACAUGAACGUUACGUGGCGAUGACAAGCCUGAUCUUGGAGAACGCGGACUUAAACCGACUUUUUCCAAAAUGCCGGCCUAGGGGCGGCCCACCCCCGCCCCCGGGGGGCUCCACGCAGACCAGCCAGCCGCAUGACAACCCUUGCCAAACGGAGCUCGCCUCUGUUACCACCAUCACCACGUCCUCCACCGUCACGAUUGCCUCUGCUAACGACACCACCAUCACCACCCCUUCUUCGAAUCUUCUUUCCGCCAUAUCGGACGACAUGAUCGACCUUGAGCGCGACACCUCCGACAGGUAUAGGAAACGAGCGAAUGGCAGAAAAAAAUCAGCUUCGCUGUCCCGUAGGACGGCGAGCGUGGUGGCCGGUUAUGGUGCCGAGGGCCAACUGCCGAUCGGUACAUCUACGAAGAAGCCAUUAUCCUCGAGUUCGUCCUCGGCAUCAGGACGAUCCGAGGAUGCACCUCAAUAUGGCAGCCUGGCGGGUAGCGAUCAUCAGACGCAAUCCCAGCAAGAGGACAGCGGACCCGAGGAGAGUCCCGUUUAUAUUUUGACCUCCGCCAAGGGAGAUCGUAGCUACAAAUUACGUGACUCCAGAAUUAUAGAAAUAGCUGGUGGUCGAGAAGUAUUUUCGCAAAGCCGUGGAAAAGUUGCAGCAAGGAAAUCACGCUUUCAUGCUGCAUCCAAUUCAUUAAAUAACGAAGAUACUCAAGCAGAUAACAAGUUAUCUAUUAAGAAAAACAAUAAGUCCCCAAGCACACAAACUAUUUGGGAAUUACGAAGCCGAUGUGGUGAAACAAGGAAACAACGUACGAACCGAGAGGUUACAGAGACUGUAUUCUCAUCUGAGGUGCAUUCAGUACGACGUAAUCCUACCAAGUCUAUCCUUGAUUACGAUUCUCCUAAAAGCAAUCGUAGCAAUUGUAUUAUUAAUUAUGAUUCAAUUUUAAAUAGCAAUAAUGUAGAAUACAGUGUACCUAAAAGUAUUACUGAUCUGGAUUAUGGGUUGUCGAAAAACUGUGUAGAUUAUCAAUCUAAUCACACUACACCCGCAAGAAGUAUGGCUAUUGUUAGUGACGGUGAAGUGGUGGUGUUUGACGAUAUAGAUGAUAACUGGCAAGGUUUGCGUUUGGAUUUAGCAUCAAAUAAUACAACUCAAGUUACAACAACUAAUUUAGAUUUGGAAACGGAAGAUCCACCGAGAGGUCGUAUUCCUCCCGAACCGCCGAGUUCUAGCGUUGGUAGCACUCCAAGUCCUACAACAGCAUAUCACCAUAAUACAUCUGAAUUCUUCAAGGUUGUAACAACGGCAAGCGAUUGCGAGAUAGAUUCACCUUCUCCAGAGCGUAACCAUAAAGUGGCAAGAGUGAUAGGAGAACUACCAAUUGCGCAGUAUUCAGGAAGUCCAAGACGUUAUGGCGUUCGUGAAAAUCCACAACUUCCCAGUUUGUUGUCAUCACCUUCUGUAUACAUGACACCGAGACCUGGUUUUCCACAAAGAGUGUUGCCAACAACACCCAAUCACAAAGAGAAGGAGGAUGCCUCUACUGAAAUUAUCGUAGAAAAGCCUGUGAUAGAAACAGCCAUAGCUCACACGGAAGAUCAAUCGUUAAACGUUUCACCGUCGUCUCCUAAAAUCGAGGAUGAAGAAGAAGAUUCAUUAAAACCACCAGUUUUACCUGCUGACAAUAUAAGUAGUCUUGUAUCACCAGGCGGCAGUACUUUUGAUUACUUGUAUGAAUUUUCUGAAACUCGAAAAGUAUUAGAAGAAUUUUUCAAAUGCCCACCUCCAUCCAAAGAGAAAGAGAAUAGCAUUGAAUCGUUUCCGUUCCAAGACUUGGAUUAUGAACUACGAAGACAAGGAGGAAGUUCAUAUGUUGGUCAACGUUUGGCUAGUGGUCCACCCCCUACGGAGGAAGUUAUGGUACACGAAUCACCAAAAAAGCAAAGAUCUGAUUUUCCUCAAAAUACUGGCGAGCACGAAAACAAUUUUUUGGAUCUCUCAGUAGGCACUGGAAGCAGUGAAGAUCUUGGAGAGACAGAAGUUGGUUUACAGGUUGGCCACUCGCGUAAUUUCACAUUAAGUCCUGAAACAACUGACUGCGACAGCAAUUGUGGAGAUUUAGAUAGCGAAGUUUCAUUAAUGAUGAUGGAUAAUGAAUUAAUGCCGGCCAGUGGUUUGCUUGGUUCAGUUGGAGAUUUAGGAAAUAACUCGGAUUCUCUUAGAAUCUAUACGAGUAUGCCUGUAUUAGAAGAUGGUUUAUCUAGUGGACAUGCAAGUGACACUGAUAAUAAUAAUCCAACGGUGAUGCUUAUGAAACGGCAAAUAAAUGAAAUAGAAAAGGAAAUUAUUCAAAGGACGCGUAAUGACAUGUUAGGAACUGAAAAUGAGCCAGUCAAAGAUGUGAGUUUAAAUGUCACAAAGGAACUCUUGCAUACAUUACAAACAUCAUCGCCUGAUUUAUUUAUUGCGAAGAAGGAAAACUCGUAUGAAACCAAUGAGUUACAACUCGAUGGAUUAGAUCCUUUGGGUACACCACCACCACCUGCGCCACAAGGUAGACAAAGUGUCAAUUUGGAAAUAGGUGGUGAAGUAGAAGCAGCCAUUAAAGAUAUUAGAAUGGCAUUGCAAAGAACUAAAACACUUCCUGUUAAAUCUCCUUCGGAAGAACCACCCGAACCAAGCGUUAGUCCUAUUUGGAUACCAAGUAUAUUGGAUUCCAGGCGGAGAAUAUGCAUGGAAAGUAAUAGCGAAGAUUCGGAAGCACGACGAGGAGGCGACGAAGCGGAUGUAGAGAUCGAAGAAGGUCCAGAUGAAGAAGAAGCAGACACUGAUCUUGAGACUGAUCGAUUAUUAGGACAGCAAAGAACUGACGAUCAAGGAUUUUAUGAUGAUAAAGGGUGGCGGAAGCCUAAGACUAGGACAAUGUUACCACCAAUGAGUGCAAAAAUCGCAACUCCUAAGCAAACCCCUCCUAAAACCUUGAGUGUAACUCCUAUAGAAACGCUAGCAUCGUCCGAACCUUUGCCAUCUACGUCUACUUCCAUUUCUCCACCUCCUGUAGUAUCUGUUAUUCAAUCACCACCUUCUGAACGUGAAGUAACCACCCCUACGCAACCUGCAACAAGUCCACAGAAGACCCCAGUCAAAAACUCUCCCUCGUCCCCUCAGAGUCUGAAGGAAUCUAGCAACAAGGUGAAAAAGGAUAAAGAAGGAAAGAAGAAAAGUCGAAAUAAAGAAGCAUUAUUGGACGAUCCUUCAGUGUUAAUCGAAGGCGUACUCUUCAGAGCAAGAUACUUAGGAUCUACUCAAUUAGUAUGCGAGGGUCAACCAACUAAAUCUACUAGAAUGUGUCAAGCAGAGGAAGCUGUUUCUCGAAUAAAGGAUGGGCCAGUGCCAAUGCAGGCUACGCUCUUAAACUAUGGGGGGCAGCAUGGUUACGGGCGCUGCAGCAUAACUUCGCAAGGAAGCCUAGAGGAAGACGAAUGUGACUCAAGCGAAGAACUUAUAGGGAGUGCUUCUGGUGGGGGCCAGUCCGAGACACACACAAUAGCCGCCCAACCGAAACUGGCCCCGAUCAGUGGCUCCUUGGGGCCCACAACCGUUUUCAGACUACAAUUUCUUGGGUCGGUGGAGGUGGAAGAGGAAGGGGGACGUAAACGGCGUAAGCGCCUUAAGAAUCACAUGGUGGAAGAGGCUGUGACUAAAAUAAAGGCACUGGCACCGGAUGGUGAAACUCAACCCAGUACCGAAGUCGACCUAUUUAUUUCAACAGAGAAAAUUAUGGUUCUUAACACUGACUUGAAAGAAAUUAUGAUGGAUCAUGCUUUACGAACGAUAUCGUACAUAGCAGAUAUCGGCGACUUGGUUGUUCUCAUGGCUCGAAGACGAUUCGUACCUCAUGAGAUGGAAGAAGCUCCUAAGAUAAACAGGACUCCCAAAAUGAUCUGUCACGUUUUUGAAAGCGAAGAAGCUCAGUUUAUUGCACAAAGUAUUGGACAAGCAUUUCAAGUAGCUUACAUGGAGUUCCUAAAAGCAAAUGGAAUAGAAGAUCAUAGUUUUGUUAAAGAGAUGGAUUAUCAAGAAGUACUUAAUUCACAGGAGAUAUUUGGCGACGAGUUGCAAAUGUUUGCAAAAAAGGAAAUGCAGAAAGAGGUAGUGGUACCAAAAGCGAAAGGUGAAAUUCUUGGUGUAGUAAUAGUUGAAUCUGGAUGGGGCUCUAUGCUGCCAACUGUAGUUAUAGCUAAUCUGGCACCAGCUGGUGCUGCAGCUCGUUGCGGGCAAUUAAAUAUUGGUGAUCAAAUAAUAGCAAUCAAUGGCGUGUCGUUAGUUGGCUUACCUCUAUCAACAUGUCAGACGUACAUAAAGAACUCAAAAAAUCAAACGGUCGUAAAGUUAACUGUCGUACCAUGUGCACCCGUUGUUGAAGUGAAAAUCAAGAGACCCGAUACGAAGUAUCAGUUAGGAUUUAGUGUACAGAAUGGGGUAAUAUGCAGUUUGUUAAGAGGUGGUAUUGCAGAAAGAGGGGGAGUAAGAGUGGGUCAUAGAAUAAUCGAAAUUAAUAAUCAGAGUGUUGUUGCUGUACCACAUGAAAAGAUUGUUAAUCUUCUUGCCACUUCUGUUGGUGAAAUCCUGAUGAAGACAAUGCCCACUUCGAUGUUUAGGCUAUUAACUGGUCAGGAGUCUCCGGUGUACAUAUAAACGUUCAGUUGCCUGGCUGAUGCGUAGUGAACAGACAAUACAUCUGCCAUCCACUACCACACUAUUUACCACUUUACUGUACAGAUUAUUUCACGCAAAUUGCUUUGUGUUUCAAUUCCAAUGGAGCAGUUCAUACGUCAUCAGCGCUCCUGCUUAGUAAACCAAGACUACCUAGAGGAUCACAUUAUUUGCGCCAAGAAAGACGCUAGGCGAUGCAGAUGAUGCAGUGCACAUGAUUAUAAAUAGCACAAAGCUCUUUAUUGAUAUUUAGAGCAGAGCUGAAACUGUAUAUUAUAUUAUAUUAGCUAAUGACGUAGUAAUAUUUAUAAAAACGUAUCUCCUAUCAUCUUUUGGAGACUCAACUUUACAUCGUUCAUUUAAUCUUUUUUAUUCUUGAGCUCGUCGAUGCUUGAGAUGCAUUGCCCGAGUCUUAUUAAUUUGUACUAAACACUAUUGUCUAUUAUAAAAUUUUCAAUGCAUAAGUCUCGUGAUAUAUACAUAUAUAUGUCAUAGUAAUUAUAUAGAAGAGUCAGCAAAACAUAACAUAAAGAAAAGGAUUCCACCAGCAGCAUGAAAUACUUUUCGUUUAUUAAUUUUUGUUUUUCAAUAAUCUUUUAUUUUUUUUAAGAAGCUGCACUCUACUUUAUUACCUCUUUCUAUAUAUCACUAGAUAACAACAUUUGUAUAGGAUAUGCGUACAUGUAUAUGCAGAUAUCGACAGGGCUAUUAUAUGUAAUAUUCUAUUGUAACAAAUUGAAUAUAUAUAUAUAAUAAUGACGAUGAAGCAUGAAUAUGAACAAUGUAUGUACAAAAAAGUAUAAGUUAAAGAUCUUAUAUUUGCAUUAUGGCCCAAUAGAACAGAUGCGAAAUGCAUGUCGCACAAGUUAUUAUAUUGGAUAUAGCUACUGAUGAUUUGAUUGAAAGAUUAUACUAAAUAAUUCUAUAAAUAACGUUUGCAUUUUCAUGAGAUUAUUUUAUGGACAAAGAGUUGUAUUUAGCAAAUUGUAUAUUUAUUAGAAUAAUCUGAGUUAUAAUUUUCCUUCAUUUCUGCAGAUAAUAUGUAAAAAAGAAAUUGAGGGUUGGCCAUAAAUAAGAAAUAUUAUUAUUAUACACAUAACUUUUAAAUAACUAAUUGCGUACAAUAUUUAUAUACUAUGACAAUGUAAAAAAAAUACUAAAGCUGACAGAUUUCAAUAAGGCUGCUUGCGUGUAAGCCUUUUAUUUUAGUCAGUGUACGGGGAAGAAUUUGUCAUUGAAAAGAAUUCCUAAAUAUUAUAGCGUUGCCAUAUUUGUGAUCAUAUUACUAUGAGAGAUACAAUUUAUUUUACUGAAACUUUUAAAUCUUAAUCACACGUUCUUACUUAAAGGCAACACACAUUUUCUCUAGAUAUUCUUAUUGGAGUCUGUAGUGGCUGGUUGUGCGCACUUAGUGUAACUUUAAAAUGCAUUGAUAUGCAAUGUAUAAUCCAUUACACUUGAGUCACUGUAGCACUGUGUAUUAUAAAAUUGUUCUAAAAUAUACAGACUGAUGCAAUCUAUGCUAUAAAAAUAAUAGGAUAAAUUAUCCAUUCCACAUAUAUAUGUAAGCUAAAUAAAGUAAAGUAUACCAUCAGUGAAAUGGUAUCUCUUCUAUAUAAGUACUGUGUAUUAUAAUAAUCUAAGUUGUAUCUAUUUUUGCUGAAAAUUUCUCACCUUUAAACUAUUCUGCUUAGAAUACUGAAGAUGUAUAUGCGGUGGUGCAAAUUUUAGAACUCCUGGUAUUUGAUAAAAUUUCAAUGCCAAAGUACAUUAAGUAAUUAACAUUUUAAAAUUGAAUUCUUUUGCAUGCAUGUGAUUUGAACUGCAAAUCACUUAUUUCGAUAUACGAUUUGGAAUAUAUUUAUACAAAAUUCCAUUUUCUAUUAAUUCUAUAAAUAAAAAUCUUAACAUUUGUAAACGAUACGUUAACAUCUCAUCGCUUUUUUGGCAUUUUUCAUAAAUUAAUAAACAAUAUUCAAUAUUUUCUUUCGAAGCAAAAGCUAUCGAUUAAAUUAUUGAAAUAAUAGUUAAAUCACUAUUUCCAAACAUUUCUUACAUAAGAGUUCUUUGUAUGAAAGAAGAUAAAAAGAAAAUAUAUAAAGAAAUAUAUAAAGUCGAAGGAAGAGUCCAAGAUAAAUGCUUUAGUCAGAUUUAAAAUUGCAUUAAAGCUUUGUUAUGGGGAGAACGAUUAUGUUAGAAAUGUUUAUCGAAAUAUAUAUACAACUAAAAUAAAUGAAUAAAUAAAGAAAGAAAGAAAGAAAAACAUACGUAAAUAUACAUGUAAAUGCAUAGGUUACAACAUAAGUCAUAGUGAAAAAAAUGAUAAUUGACUAAAAAAACAUAUAUUAAUUGUACAAAAUAAUGGUCAUUUAAAUAUAUGAGUUAAAAAACAAAUGUAACUUUAAUUUAAUUUACAUGGAUCGAGGAAAAACUAUUGGAUACAAAUUUGUAUGAAUAUUUUUUAAAUGAGAAUGUAAAAAUCACAUAGAUACAAUUUUCUUUAUACUUUGAAUUAAUUUUCCAAUGAAAACAACCUCCUCUCUCCAUGCAUAUAUAUAAUAGACCUAUGAAUAAUGUUUUGACCUAUGUACAAUAAUUCAAUUGAUUGAAAAAAAAAUAUAUAGAAAGCGUAUUAUAAAUUGCAUAUCAUGAAGAAAAAUCUAUAUCAUUAGAAACUACACGCAUUCAUUCCUUAUGAAUAAUAAAUCAUAUUUAUAAAAUACGUGCAGAAAGUAUUAUACUUUGCAGAAAUAUCCAGUAUUUCUGGAUCAGUCAUGUCACUGUCAGUAUCCAUUAAAUAAGGCAAUGAAUUUUGGCAUAGAAAUUUUUAUCCAUAUAUUUGGUGAGCAACAGAGCGGUACGAAUAUUAUGAUAUAUAUGGGAUCAAACAAGAUGUUAUUAUAUCGGGUGGCUAAAAACUUAUCUAGUCAUUACGCUAAAAAAUAUAUAAAAAUGAAUACUCAGCCAUUAUUGCAAGCCACCCUGACUGAAUGUGUUUAAUCACAUUUUAAAUAACACAUCUGCGACUAACUUUAACUGUCAACCUGAUCUUGCAUGGUCAUCUCUUUUGUCUACUAUUACGAAUAAAAUAUAGUAUUAUGUAGAUUAUUUGUUCAAAGUAUAUAUAAUAUAUAUAUAGACAUCUUAUUUCUGGGUAUUGUUUACACAUAUAUAUAUGUAUAUGUAUGUAUGUAUGUAUGUGUAUACAUAUUAUUCGUUUUAUAUUUCUAAUCUAAAUAGUUCUAAUAAUUUUACGUUCUUACAAUAAUAUGGCUUGUUAUGGUCACGAUAAAAGAGUAAAUAAAUAUAUUCUUACGAAUAUAAAUCUACAAAAAAAUCAACUACACGCGAAUAUCGAAUAAUAUAUUCCAAAUUAAUUGUAAAUGAAAUCUUUCCGAAUCUAUAAAAGAAUGAAAAGUUAAAUAUGUUUUGUUUAAAUAAACAUCUAACUGUUAUCGCGAUAAGUAUAAUGACAUAGUAAGCCAAAGAUUACUUCCAGAUUUUUGUAGAAUAUUUUGUUUUAUAUUUUUCAACAUGACAAUGAUAUGAUUGUGCAAUGUCAGUAAUGAGGAAGAAUAGAUUCAAAAUUGAAGGAAGAAUCGUUACCGAAUAAUAAAAAGAAUAAUGACAAGAAAAAACAAAUAUUCGAAAUAAAACUGUUCGUAAGAGAAAUGAAAAGAAAAAAAAAAGAAAAACUAAUUAUAUCUUAUACAUUCAUAGAGCUUGCGCUGUAGCUUCACUAGUCAUGAGAGACACACUACAAAAUAUCAUGACUAAUCUCUCUCUCUUUCUAUCAAUGUGUGUGUUUGCGAGUGUAUAAUAAGUUAAAAUUAUAAGUGAGCUAUAUUGAAUGUGUAUAUGGUAAUAUUAUUACUAUACUAGUCCGUAUUAAGGUAAUAAUAAAAUGUAAUUUUGAAUUCAAAUUCAAAAUGCAUCUAUAUAUUUCUGUGUCACUGACCUGCAGUGAGAUGCCUUAAGAUUUCAAGUUUCAACGGAAUAGUUGCAACUCUUAUAAUAUACAUCACUUACUUGUAAG